This is a long non-coding RNA of Oncorhynchus tshawytscha (Chinook salmon), 823 nucleotides long. Lineage: Eukaryota; Metazoa; Chordata; Actinopteri; Salmoniformes; Salmonidae. The record is from Ensembl.
CCAACGAUGGAGCGGCCCAGCCAAGCUGAGACGGAGAGGAAGCCUGUGGGACACCAUGCACGUUUUCAGAGCUCCUUCAGCUCUUUCAAGUUCAACUUCAGUUCCAUCAGCUUGGUGGACGAGAUUCUAACAGGAGAUGAGUGGUCACCAUUCCUGUCUAUAAGGGACAGUCCAGCCCCCUCACUGUCCGUUUUCCAAUCAGAGGCUGCUAGCCAACACGGUUAUGAUGAAGGCGACCAAUUAAAGACUGGACCAGAGUUGCGCCUUCCCAACGACGUUCAACAUAACCACGAGGACAUAGGCCUUUCUUUAUACGAGGCUGUCAGCUUCAGCCAAUCAAGUCCGAAUGAGAUUGUGGACAACCAAUCGGACAACAGACAACAGGAAGUAGACAACAACAAUGACACAGGAGCUGACGCCAUUGCUGUCAUCAAACCGAAGAUAUUAUUGGAAAAUGAUGCAGCGGAGGAGAGGCUCCAUCUGAAUUCACCCACCGACAUUCCUCCAAGUCAUGUGCCUCGUGUCCAAGUCAUGUGCCUCGUGUCCAAGUCAUGUGCCUCGUGUCCAAGUCAUGUGACUCGUGUCCAAGUCAUGUGACUCGUGUCCAAGUCAUGUGACUCGUGUCCAAGUCAUGUGACUCGUGUCCAAGUCAUGUGACUCGUGUCCACACCUCUGAUACUUUUUAUGAAGCAGCAAUGGGUCCCCUGGUCAAAAAUAUUGCACUAUAAAGGAUAGGGUGCCAUUUCACACUCACCCUGCUCCUCUCUCUAAUGAUCCCAACCCACAGAUCUCCCACUGUGAAACCAAACCACAGAGAGAUGUG